GCUUGUCUCAAAGAUUAAGCCAUGCAUGUCUAAGUAUAAGCUAUUUAUACGAGUGAAACUGCGAAUGGCUCAUUAUAUCAGUUAUAGUUUAUUUGAUGGUACUUACUACAUGGAUAACCGUAGUAAUUCUAGAGCUAAUACAUGCAUCAAACCCCGACUUCUGGAAGGGGUGUAUUUAUUAGAUACAAACCAACAUCGUGGUGAUUCAUAAUAACUUUGCGAAUCGUAUGCCUCACGGCGACGAUGAAUCAUUCAAAUUUCUGCCCUAUCAACUUUCGAUGGUAGGAUAGAGGCCUACCA
This 300-nucleotide ribosomal RNA is filed under the name uncultured fungus. RNAcentral's name for it is "partial small subunit ribosomal RNA". It matches the Rfam family "Eukaryotic small subunit ribosomal RNA", at positions 30 to 346 of the family's 1831-position model. Lineage: Eukaryota; Fungi. The record is from RNAcentral.